This 492-nucleotide ribosomal RNA is filed under the name uncultured bacterium. RNAcentral describes it as "partial 16S ribosomal RNA". It matches the Rfam family "Bacterial small subunit ribosomal RNA", at positions 29 to 507 of the family's 1533-position model. The record is from RNAcentral.
AGUGAACGCUGGCGGUAGGCCUAACACAUGCAAGUCGAACGGCAGCACAGUAAGAGCUUGCUCUUACGGGUGGCGAGUGGCGGACGGGUGAGGAAUACAUCGGAAUCUACUUUUUCGUGGGGGAUAACGUAGGGAAACUUACGCUAAUACCGCAUACGACCUACGGGUGAAAGCAGGGGAUCUUCGGACCUUGCGCGAUUGAAUGAGCCGAUGUCGGAUUAGCUAGUUGGCGGGGUGAAGGCCCACCAAGGCGACGAUCCGUAGCUGGUCUGAGAGGAUGAUCAGCCACACUGGAACUGAGACACGGUCCAGACUCCUACGGGAGGCAGCAGUGGGGAAUAUUGGACAAUGGGCGCAAGCCUGAUCCAGCCAUACCGCGUGGGUGAAGAAGGCCUUCGGGUUGUAAAGCCCUUUUGUUGGGAAAGAAAAGCAGCAGGUUAAUACCCCGCUGUUCUGACGGUACCCAAGGAAUAAGCACCGGCUAACUUCGUG